RNAcentral lists this long non-coding RNA (537 nucleotides) under Panax ginseng (ginseng). RNAcentral describes it as "long non-coding RNA (PGIN_LNC002685)". Lineage: Eukaryota; Viridiplantae; Streptophyta; Magnoliopsida; Apiales; Araliaceae. The record is from RNAcentral.
AAGAAUCACCUUCUCACCAUAAGCAUAUCGAUAGCGUGACAUCGACAUUCCAUUGAUUAUCAUUGUGAGGAACCGAGCAUGAGCACAAAGCUUCCGCCCACACAAAGGUUUGUACAACUCAGCUCUCACAUGAGUCCUCAACUGAAAUCUAACUUAACUCUAUCUCACUCUUAACUUGCUCUUUGCUCGAUACGAAUUCUUCGUAUCUCACCACAUACAACUCCUCAUGAGUUCAUAUCGUACCAUUUCAUAGUACAAUCUCUUAUAGCAUCAAGCUAUACACACUUAGUCGUUACAGACUAUUAUCACUUCAUAGCUCAAUCUGAUCACGUUGUGAUCAUCAAUUUACCUUAGGGUUCUUUCCCUAUUAUCAACAAAACUCCACUCGAGUUCAUUCUUAUUAUCUUUGUCAUAUUUAUCUUAUAGAUAACAUCUUAACAUUUUUAUUAUCGGAGUUAGGAAACUCUUGAAUUAUCAUUAUCUUAGAUACUUCAAGAUUCUUCUUUGAAUCUUCACUUAUAUAUUUUAAUCUUUAUC